This 296-nucleotide ribosomal RNA is filed under the name Escherichia coli. RNAcentral's name for it is "partial 16S ribosomal RNA". It matches the Rfam family "Bacterial small subunit ribosomal RNA", at positions 1 to 293 of the family's 1533-position model. The record is from RNAcentral. Lineage: Bacteria; Pseudomonadati; Pseudomonadota; Gammaproteobacteria; Enterobacterales; Enterobacteriaceae.
AAAUUGAAGAGUUUGAUCAUGGCUCAGAUUGAACGCUGGCGGCAGGCCUAACACAUGCAAGUCGAACGGUAACAGGAAGAAGCUUGCUUCUUUGCUGACGAGUGGCGGACGGGUGAGUAAUGUCUGGGAAACUGCCUGAUGGAGGGGGAUAACUACUGGAAACGGUAGCUAAUACCGCAUAACGUCGCAAGACCAAAGAGGGGGACCUUCGGGCCUCUUGCCAUCGGAUGUGCCCAGAUGGGAUUAGCUUGUUGGUGGGGUAACGGCUCACCAAGGCGACGAUCCCUAGCUGGUCU